This 576-nucleotide ribosomal RNA is filed under the name Streptomyces sp. Its description in RNAcentral is "bacterial SSU rRNA". It matches the Rfam family "Bacterial small subunit ribosomal RNA", at positions 261 to 840 of the family's 1533-position model. The record is from RNAcentral. Lineage: Bacteria; Bacillati; Actinomycetota; Actinomycetes; Kitasatosporales; Streptomycetaceae.
GGGCUCACCAAGGCGACGACGGUAGCCGGCCUGAGAGGGCGACCGGCCACACUGGGACUGAGACACGGCCCAGACUCCUACGGGAGGCAGCAGUGGGGAAUAUUGCACAAUGGGCGAAAGCCUGAUGCAGCGACGCCGCGUGAGGGAUGACGGCCUUCGGGUUGUAAACCUCUUUCAGCAGGGAAGAAGCGAAAGUGACGGUACCUGCAGAAGAAGCGCCGGCUAACUACGUGCCAGCAGCCGCGGUAAUACGUAGGGCGCGAGCGUUGUCCGGAAUUAUUGGGCGUAAAGAGCUCGUAGGCGGCUUGUCACGUCGGUUGUGAAAGCCCGGGGCUUAACCCCGGGUCUGCAGUCGAUACGGGCAGGCUAGAGUUCGGUAGGGGAGAUCGGAAUUCCUGGGUGUAGCGGUGAAAUGCGCAGAUAUCAGGAGGAACACCGGUGGGCGAAAGGCGGAUCUCUGGGGCCGAUACUGACGCCUGAGGAGCGAAAGCGUGGGGGAAGCGAAACAGGGAUUAGAUACCCCUGGUAAGUCCACGCCGUAAACGGGUGGGCACUAAGGUGUGGGGCGACAUUCCA